UCAAAUGUGGGAGCAAGAGUUUUCAGAGC
Molecule: non-coding RNA, 29 nt
Filed under: Mus musculus (house mouse)
Lineage: Eukaryota; Metazoa; Chordata; Mammalia; Rodentia; Muridae
Source: RNAcentral